GCAGAGCCGUGGCCCUCUUCUUUGUUCUCUGCUGGAUCCAAGGCUGGUCAUGAACUCCUGACCUCAAUGGAUCCUCCUGCCUCAGCUUCCUGAGUAGCUGGGAUCACAGGUGCACACCACCACACCCAGAUGAAAUUCUGCUGCAAGUGUUUUCCAAGGUUCCGUAUGACCCAUCAUUUGAUGAAACAAGAACAGCAGUCAGAUCCAUUACAAAGAGAGACACACAAAAAAACUAUGUGAAAAUGAGCUUAGCCCCUGGUGUUGUGUUGGAACUUCAGAUGCUUGCAGACACUUCGUGAAUGCUCUGUGACACUCAGAAUAGGCUAUUCCCAACAAAAGAGCUUGAACAGUGCUGCAUUUGCAUCAGGUUCAAAUGAGCGAGAGGAACAUUUGGCUAAAAUAUUUGAUGAAAUUCUACUGCAGGUGUUUCCAAAGGUUCCGUAUCAUCCAUCAUUUAACGAAACAACAGCAGUCAGAUCCAUUACAAAGACAGACAUGAGAAAAGGAACCAGUGUUGUUUGGAAAUCUCCUAAACCAGAAUAUUUCCUUGGCAGUGUGGACAAAAUUCCCGAUAAAGAUCACCUUUCAGAGGAGAAGAGUUUUAAAGAAUCCUCUCUGUUCGACAGGGUUUUAAGAGAGCAGUUAACUACUGUAGAUAAAGAAACA
This 666-nucleotide small RNA is filed under the name Pongo abelii (Sumatran orangutan). RNAcentral's name for it is "processed transcript". Lineage: Eukaryota; Metazoa; Chordata; Mammalia; Primates; Hominidae. The record is from RNAcentral.